GGAAGUUGGGAUCCUGAAGACGGCUCAGCCCCCUGUGGUUGAGAAGGUGGUGGGGCUUGUUCGUGAGAAACGUGUGGCUGCAUCCCUGGAUGUCUGAGGACUGGUGGUGACACCCGUGCCCUGUCCCCCUCCAGCGGCAUGAGGAGAUGAUCAUCCCUGGAAGAACCCCCUGAUUUCCCUCAGAGCCCAGGGCCAUUUCCCCUGAAUGAUCAAUAAAUCCCUUCAGCAAA
Long non-coding RNA from Pseudopipra pipra, 230 nucleotides. RefSeq lists it as uncharacterized. The transcript has 3 exons. The record is from RefSeq and is a predicted model, not a curated record. Lineage: Eukaryota; Metazoa; Chordata; Aves; Passeriformes; Pipridae.